Molecule: unclassified non-coding RNA, 247 nt
Filed under: Hemimycena sp.
Lineage: Eukaryota; Fungi; Basidiomycota; Agaricomycetes; Agaricales; Mycenaceae
Also listed under: 2 other names
Description: partial contains 5.8S ribosomal RNA, internal transcribed spacer 2, and large subunit ribosomal RNA
Rfam family: 5.8S ribosomal RNA (bases 1-52)
Source: RNAcentral
AACGCACAUUGCGCCCCCUGGUAUUCCGGGGGGCAUGCCUGUUCGAGCGUCAUUGCAACCCUCAAGCUCUGCUUGGUAUUGGGCGUUCGCUUCCAAGGAGGCGCGCCCGCAAAUCAGUGGCGGUCCAGGGAGACUUCAAGCGCAGUAGAAACAUUCCGCUAUCGAGGUGUCGCCUGCGGCCUGGCCAGAAAACCCCCAAAUUCCAAUGAUUGACCUCGGAUCAGGUAGGGAUACCCGCUGAACUUAA